GAUGAAGAACGUAGCGAAAUGCGAUACUUGGUGUGAAUUGCAGAAUCCCGUGAACCAUCGAGUCUUUGAACGCAAGUUGCGCCCGAAGCCAUUAGGCCGAGGGCACGCCUGCCUGGGCGUCACACGUCGUUGCCCCCCCAUCUACUCCUUCGGGAUUGCGGGGGGGCGGAUGAUGGCCUCCCGUGCGCCUCGUCGCGCGGUUGGCAUAAAUGCCAAGUCCUCGGCGACGCACGCCACGACAAUCGGUGGUUGCGAAACCUCGGUUGCCCGUCGUGUGCGGUCGUCGCGCAUCGAGGGCUCGAAAAAAUUGCCGGGCUCCGGCUCGGCUUUCAACGCGACCCCAGGUCAGGCGGGGUUACCCGCUGAAUUUAAGCAUAUCAAUAAGCGGAGGA
Molecule: unclassified non-coding RNA, 392 nt
Filed under: soil metagenome
Description: partial contains 5.8S ribosomal RNA, internal transcribed spacer 2, and large subunit ribosomal RNA
Rfam family: 5.8S ribosomal RNA (bases 1-122)
Source: RNAcentral